This 253-nucleotide ribosomal RNA is filed under the name uncultured bacterium. RNAcentral's name for it is "partial 16S ribosomal RNA". It matches the Rfam family "Bacterial small subunit ribosomal RNA", at positions 524 to 776 of the family's 1533-position model. The record is from RNAcentral.
UACAGAGGGGGCAAGCGUUGUUCGGAAUUACUGGGCGUAAAGGGCGCGUAGGCGGCCUGCUAAGUCGAACGUGAAAUCCCCGAGCUCAACUCGGGAACUGCGUCCGAUACUGGCAGGCUUGAAUCCGGGAGAGGGAUGCGGAAUUCCAGGUGUAGCGGUGAAAUGCGUAGAUAUCGGAAGGAACACCAGUGGCGGAAGCGGCUUCCUGGUCCAGCACCGACGUUCAGGCCCGAAAGCGUGGGGAGCAAACAGG